CUUAAGUUGGUUUCAGUGGAUGCAGCUGGUUCCCUAGAGGGGAGACCCCCAGGAGCCUGAGUGCCUAGAGGGAGGGUGAGGAGGCAGCCACAGGCAAGUUGCAAUAUUUUCUCUACAUAUUCUGCCUGGAAUCAAGAUGCCCAGGAAAGAAGUUCUGGACUUAGAAAGUGGAGGGAGUUUUGUAUUUUUAGUAGAGACAGCAUUUCACCAUGUUGGCCAGGCUGGUCUUGAACUCCUGACCUCAGGUGAUCCACCUGCCUCAGCCUCCCAAAGUGCUGGAAUUACAGGUGCAAGCCACUGUGCCAGGCCAGGGUUCUGGUUUUUAUGACCAACCUUAGGGAAGAGGCAUUCUAGUUUCUAUGACUAGCCCUGGGGAACAAUGGCACUGAGAGACAGGAGGGCAGGAGAAGGUCAGAGGAAAGUUUCUGCUUCCGAGGCCUUCUCUUGGGGGCACUGUUUUCUGAGCCCCAACAGGGACAUUCAGUGCUUUUAUGGAGCUCAUUCUCUUUUCUCUUCUCCAUGGAAUUAAACACCUGGGUAAGACCAGGCACUAUGGCUCAUGCCUGUAAUCCCAGCUCUUUGAGAGGCUGAUACAGGGAGAUGAGUCAAGGAGUUCAAGACCAGCCUGGGCAACAUAGUGAGACCCUGUCUUUACAAAAAAUACAAACAUUAGCUGGGCAUGGUAUGCAUGGAUAGUCCCAGCUAUUCAGGAAGCUGAGGUGGGAGGAUCACUUGAGCCUGGAAGGUUGAGGCUACAGUGAGUUGUGAUCACACCACUGCACUCCAGCCUGGGUGAGAGAGUGAGACCCUAUCUCAAAAGAAAAGAAAAGAACAGACCACAUACACACAUACCCUACUUGACUAGUUCUUCUCAAAGCCAAGGUGGGAAAAGGGAGGGCAAAGAACCUCUCUUUUAAAGAUGGUAAUGUUGGCUGAACAUGGUGGCUCACACCUGUAAUCCUAGCACUUUGGGAGGCCAAGGCAGGCAGAUCACUUGAGGUCAGGAGUUCAAGAGCAUCCUAGCCAACAUUGUGAAACCCCAUCUCUUCUAAAAUACAAAAAAAAAAA
Molecule: long non-coding RNA, 1068 nt
Filed under: Callithrix jacchus (white-tufted-ear marmoset)
Lineage: Eukaryota; Metazoa; Chordata; Mammalia; Primates; Cebidae
Description: lncRNA (ENSCJAG00000075119.1)
Source: RNAcentral